Molecule: long non-coding RNA, 302 nt
Filed under: Neodiprion pinetum (white pine sawfly)
Lineage: Eukaryota; Metazoa; Arthropoda; Insecta; Hymenoptera; Diprionidae
Description: uncharacterized LOC124216467
Source: RNAcentral
GGUCCUCUCGUACUAAAAAUUUUUAAUAAAAUCAAGGAUAGAAACCAACCUGGCUUAAACCGGUUUGAACUCAGAUCAUGUAAAAUUUUAAAGGUCGAACAGACCUAAAUUUUUAAGCUUCUACCCCCAAAAUAAAUUUUAAUCCGACAUCGAGGUCGCAAUUUUUUAUGUCAAUAAGAACUUUAAAAAAAAUAACGCUGUUAUCCCCAAGGUAAUUUAAUCUAAUAAUCUGAAAUAGAGGAUCAAAAAUUCAUUAAUUAAUUUAUUUAAUUUUUUAUUUAAUUUCAUAUUAAUUAAUUAUU